RNA transcript from Cyclopterus lumpus (lumpfish), 4640 nucleotides. RefSeq lists it as uncharacterized. The record is from RefSeq and is a predicted model, not a curated record. The transcript is spliced from 5 exons. NCBI's taxonomy places the organism in Eukaryota, Metazoa, Chordata, Actinopteri, Perciformes, Cyclopteridae.
AGACAACAGUUUAAUGAUUAAAAGAAGACAAAGAAGACAAACCGGAGCACAGAGACUAACGAGGGACAGGUGACAGUGGCUGCCGAGGAAUGGAUGAAUCGAACCAGGCAGGAAGGAAAACAAGACAGAACAUCUACAACAGGAAACUAACACAACUCCUUGGACCAUGACAUUAGCUGUCGUUGGAAUCGGCAGAUAAAGGCUUUCAAAUGAAAAUAAGACGACGCAUAUAGGUGCAGGUGACGCAAACCAUUGACGGAGAGGGUCAGGGGCAGCCGGUCACCUCAGUAAACAGUCAACCAUGAUGGCAUUUCUCACAGCAUGAAUUGGUCUGGUGGAGAGCAUACGUUUACUUACUCACAGCUCUUCUUCUCUAACUUGGUUUAAGUCACUGCAUCUCAGAACAGAACAGCACCACGGUUGAGUUAAAGCCUGCAAGCUUGUUUAUUCAGCCUAAGCUUUGUUAAAACAGAGCAGCUAAUAAUGGAUGCAAGAGCAACAAGUUGCUGGAUUGAGAAGAGUAGAGAACCCAGCACCACAUGGCAGCAAAACAAAGUGAAGACCUUGUUGUUUUCAAGGUCAAGAGAGAAUCUCUACGACGACCCCACGGGGUGUCCCAACUCUGACCUUCCGUGCCAUUGAUAUGUGUUGGUGAGCUCUCUUGUGGAUUCCCUUAUUUUUGCAUCGGUUGUAAAAAAAAAAAGCAUUUCAUGUUCAUUUCUAUGCGUGUGAUUUUUUUCAUGUGCAAAGGCUGCAGGUCAUACAGCUUCUCAAUCAUGACGGAUCUAUGAAACAGUAUUUGCAUGUUUGAUAUUUUAAAAAAAGUGUUUAUACGUGUUCUCAUUCCAGUUAUACGUAUUUAUUACUGCCAUCAGAUUGCACCCCAAGUCCUGAGCUGAACACACUCACACACAAGCCGCAUGCAUCAUGCAUAUUUCAUGUAUGUAAAGCAGGCAAAUAAGUCAAACGUAUGCAGCGUAACCACUUAACAGAGCUUGCACAUUUGUCUUAAUGAUUGUAAAAUAUCGUGUGCAUGUGUGAUGAUGCUUUGAUUAGAUAUUCUCAGUGCAAUAAUGGCUGCAUGUACCAUUCUGUCCUUUAAAUCCAUGUGUUUAUUUUCAUAAUACAGUCAAAGUUGAGGUACUUAGACAUGACUGAAGUCAGUUUCCCUGUUUAAUUGCUGGAUGUCUUUGUCGUCUUAAUUAUACACUAAUACUGUAAUAAUGUGUCACGCUGGUUUAAGUGUGUUUGUCUCGAGAUGAUACUGGAGGUCACACUCCUGCAGUCCUGAUAUCCACCACAUCACAUGUGCGUGUUCAUGUUGCUGGUCCAAUAUGCAGUCCAAUACUGCAGCCUUUUUUGGACGGGGAGCGCGCUUCCAAAUCUACCCUCCCGCUGCGCUCGCUCCCCGUGCCUUUAAAAAAAGAGCGUGCACGGCUGAAGGUCACUUAAACACAAAAGGCUUUCAGCGCUGCGGUCCAAUAUAGCGCAUGCGCGCUGCCGGGGGACUGCUUCACAGACCGCAAUAUGGCGAGAAUGCCUGCCAGCGGAGACACGGAGCAGGAGCGGAUGAGCUGCCCCGAGAGGCGCAUGGAGGAGGGUAACGAGGAGGAGGAUGAAGAGGAGAUCCAGGAGGUCCAGAUCACCGGGGAGGAAGAGGAAGAGGACGAGGAGUCUGAUAGAGAGGGUGUGGAGCUGGAGUGGGAGUCAGGAGGCACAGUGCUGGGCUCCAGCGGUUCCGCCGCGGAGAUGCGAGCGGUCGUUAUGCGGAGUAUGGACCGGGAAGAGGAGGAGGGGGAGGCGGAAAUCUUCGGCAGCAGCAGCGUGCCCACGAGGCUGGAGUCUCACCUGGAGGGAGACCUUCACCGGUGUGAGCGGAACAAGCUGAGCGAGAACACCCGCCUGGCCACCCGGUACGCGGUGAGGAUCUUCAGGGAGUACCUCAGCGAGAAAGCCCAAAGUCCAGACUUUGAAACUCUGGACAAGGAGGCGCUCUGCGCGGUGCUGCGCUCCUUUUACGCGGAGGCGCGCUCCAAAAGUGGACAGUUGUACAGCAAGUCGUCCCUCAUUAGCAUCCGGAGCUCCCUGAAUCGGUACCUCAACGAGCCGCCCUACUGCCGCACCUUGGACCUCACCAAGGACCCGGAGCUGCGCAGCGCCAACCUGACCCUGGCCGCGGUCAUACGGAGGCUGGAGGAGCAAGGCGCCGGUCCCGUGGUGCAGAAACAAGCCAUCACGCGCUCGGACCUGCGGAAACUGUACGAGUCCUGCGUGUUCAACACCGACACGCCGUUCGGGCUGCUCAACAAAGUCUGGUUCGAGACCUGCAUGUAUUUCUGCACACGGGGCCGGGAGAACCAGCGGGAGCUGGAGGAGGACUCGUUCGGUCUGGCGGUGGACGAGGACGGGAGAAAGUUUAUCUAUUUCAAAGCUCUCGGACCGUACCACAAGUCCCGCUCCGCUGCCUGGACCAAGAAGCGUCCGGACGCGGACGAGGACACCUUGCCGCGGAUGUACGAGACCGGCUCGGAGCAGUGUCCGUACGCCAGCUUCGCCCGCUACGUGUCGAAGCGGAACCCGCUCUGCAGGGCGUUCUUCCAGCGGCCGCGGGACCACUGCUGCGCGAGCGACGUGACGUGGUACGAGAACAAAGCUAUCGGUAAGAACCUGUUGGGCACGAGGAUGCAGAUGUUGUCGCGCGCUGCCAAGCUCUCCAAGACCUACACCAACCACUGCAUCGGUGCAGUCUCCAUAGCAACGCUCAACAGCAUCGUGGGCGCCGCGGGCUCCAGGUCGACGACGCUUUACGUUGCCACGGAAACGGUCAACGGCCACGCGCAGGCUCACCUCCAGCUCGUGAUUCCGUACCUUCGCCGGGUAUCCGACGUUGCGGGUCUGAAGCCGGCAGCAGCGACAAUAAACACAUCAUCAACAACAACAACAACAACAACAACAACGAAGAACAAAGUCAGCGCCGAGGAGGACCCGGGGGCUCCUCACGCCAAGAGGCUGUGCGUGCGCCCCGGGACACGCGCAGAGUCGCCUGGAGAGCGGAACGAGAGCGAGUCGGUCCCUGCGAGAGCCACGGAGUCCCGUAUAAACACCCAGCCAGACACACAGGACAACUGUAUGUCCAGUCGGCAGCAGGUCUCUGCGUCUCCUCUGGGCUCCUCCGGCAUCCCCGCACCAGCCCAGCUCACCAAAGCCAACGCACCCGUCCACAUCGAUGUAGGAGGACACAUGUACACUAGCAGCCUCGCCACCCUUACAAAGUACCCCGAGUCACGGAUCGGCCGUCUGUUCGAGGGAACGGAGCCCAUCGUGUUGGACAGUCUUAAGCAGCACUACUUCAUCGAUCGGGAUGGACCCAUGUUCCGCUACAUACUUAACUUCCUUCGGACCUCCAAACUUCUCAUCCCCGAUGACUUCAAAGUGAGUGUCUAGAGCUUUGAUCAGGAAUACUCCCUGCUGUACGAAGAGGCCGGUUUCUUUCAGCUGACUCCUCUGCAGGCUGAGCUGCAGCGCUGGAGGACGGAGCAGGAAUGCGGGGGGGCGUCUCUGGAGUGCGAGUGUGUUGUGAUUCAUGUGGCCCCAGAGCUCGGUGAGAGGAUCAGCGUGAGCGCCCACCGGGCCGUGAUCGAGGAGGUUUUUCCUGAGGUCAGAGACGUCAUAUCCAAUUCCCUGAACAGCAGCUGGAACCAGGACUCCGCGCACAUCAUUCGCUUCCCGCUAAACAGCUCCUGCCACCUCAACUCUAUCCAGGUGUUGGAGCAGCUACAGCAGAGAGGGUUCUGGAUCACAGGUUCAUGUGGCGGUGGAGUCGACUCUUCCCAGUUUAGUGAAUACAUUCUACGAAGGGAAAGCCGAAGCAGAAGCAGAAGCAGCCGAUACCCCCCGACCCUCAUCCGAAUAAAAAAGGAAUUUAAGGACUGAACAAACAGAAGUCCCCCUGUUUGCACACAUAUCAGCGACUGUUUCUCUUACAGACAACAGAUUAACUUCAGCAUAACAUACUGAGCAGACAUGAGUACACAGAAUCUCUUACGCCAGUGAAUAUACUCUAUAGUUGACUUCUUCUUCUUUGACACUGUGCCGCAUAGAUUUUCACACAGCAAUAUCAUUACAGUAAAAACAUGGAUCCAUUGGUGCAGGGAUCUGCAGGGGAUCAUGGGAAUUGGAUCCUAAAUUGGAGGUACACUGGCAUUAACAUUUCUAUUGAUAUGAAAUGGAGGCUGGUACUUUGGGAUGUGCAGUAUUGAUAGUCUUUUAUCACGACUCAUGUCAUUUUAUAUUGCGAUAUAGUCCUUGGAAUUCCUUUGAGAAAUCGUUGAUAGAUAACAUAAAACAAUGCUAAUUUUUUGUUUUGAGCUGAUACAUUGAAUUAAAUACCUAAAAACAGGUACUGCAUCACAUUGAUGCACACAUUCUGUAAAUUGAUACUGCCAUAGAACAGUCCUGUGAUUUCCAAUAUUGACCACAUCAUCAUAAUACCACAAUGAUUAAAGGUAGAGCUAUUACAUAUCUCUUCAUCAUCAUAUUGUCCAACCCAACCAUUAUUAAUUUCUACCAUGUUUUCAGACCACUGACUGAGGUUCUAAUUGUGCCAUGUCAACAUUAAUAAAUGCAUUAACUUUCACAUC